RNAcentral lists this ribosomal RNA (478 nucleotides) under uncultured bacterium. RNAcentral describes it as "partial 16S ribosomal RNA". It matches the Rfam family "Bacterial small subunit ribosomal RNA", at positions 28 to 523 of the family's 1533-position model. The record is from RNAcentral.
GACGAACGCUGGCGGCGUGCUUAACACAUGCAAGUCGAACGGUAAGGCCCUUCGGGGUACACGAGUGGCGAACGGGUGAGUAACACGUGGGUGAUCUGCCCUGCACUUCGGGAUAAGCCUGGGAAACUGGGUCUAAUACCGGAUAGGACCACUGCCUGCAUGGGUGGUGGUGGAAAGCUUUUGCGGUGUGGGAUGGGCCCGCGGCCUAUCAGCUUGUUGGGGGGGUGAUGGCCUACCAAGGCGACGACGGGUAGCCGGCCUGAGAGGGUGACCGGCCACACUGGGACUGGGAUACGACCCAGACUCCUACGGGAGGCAGCAGUGGGGAAUAUUGCACAAUGGGCGCAAGCCUGAUACAGCGACGCCGCGUGAGGGAUGACGGCCUUCGGGUUGUAAACCUCUUUCAGCACCGACGAAGCGCAAGUGACGGUAGGUGCAGAAGAAGGACCGGUCAACUACGUGCCAGCCGCCGCCGUAA